UUGACUUCUCCAGUUUCGGAUUUUCUGUUGCCGAUGUCCCUCAUCACUCACCCAACAAAGUGUGUGACAGUGGUGUUUUCGUUAUGACAUUCCUAGAGCAUUGGAGCGGAAGGUUGGCUGUUCGGCUUACAGAGGAAAAUGUUGGCAAGUAUCGAGUGCUGUACACAGCUCGAUUGUGUAACUCAGCGGAGAACUCAAAGUUUCCGGACAGCUUCGCAAACCUGCAAGUACCUAAACGGGCGCAGUUGAAUGUUGGUAAUGCCUGAUUUAUA
Molecule: non-coding RNA, 272 nt
Organism: Coffea arabica (coffee)
Lineage: Eukaryota; Viridiplantae; Streptophyta; Magnoliopsida; Gentianales; Rubiaceae
Source: RefSeq, a predicted model, not a curated record